AGCCGUGCGGUGAGCACAAAGCGAACUAUUCUUUCGCCUUUUACUAAAGAAUACCGUGUGCUCGCCGCUCUUGGCGGCAUACGCCUAUUUUUGGAGGGUGGUUCUAUGUGGAACGGC
Gossypium raimondii (Peruvian cotton) is the source of this 117-nucleotide non-coding RNA. The record is from Rfam. NCBI's taxonomy places the organism in Eukaryota, Viridiplantae, Streptophyta, Magnoliopsida, Malvales, Malvaceae.